GGUGCCCUGCACAAACAUUGUAGCCAACAUACAACAGUAGUUUGCAGUCAAGUCAAACCACAAUGCAUCCGCCUAAUUAAACAUGCAUAUAAAAAAAAAGCAGGUGGAUGAUUGAAGCACUUGCUCACCAACCAAGAUUACCCGCAAAUAUGUAUCUCCUCCAUACUCUUGUAUGUUUCCUUUCCAGAAAACCAUGGCGCUCACAUCCCAUCUCGAGAAGAUGUGUUCCAUCUCCACCUCAUGAAACUCAACCCACCUAUAAUUCCGAGAUUGUAU
Molecule: long non-coding RNA, 276 nt
Filed under: Setaria viridis
Lineage: Eukaryota; Viridiplantae; Streptophyta; Magnoliopsida; Poales; Poaceae
Description: long non-coding RNA (SVIR_LNC004462)
Source: RNAcentral